CGUGUAGGCGGUCCGGUAAGUCGGCUGUGAAAGUCCAGGGCUCAACCCUGGGAUGCCGGUCGAUACUGCCGGACUAGAGUUCGGAAGAGGCGAGUGGAAUUCCCGGUGUAGCGGUGAAAUGCGCAGAUAUCGGGAGGAACACCAAUGGCGAAGGCAGCUCGCUGGGACGUUACUGACGCUGAGACGCGAAAGCGUGGGGAGCAAACA
Molecule: ribosomal RNA, 207 nt
Filed under: uncultured bacterium
Lineage: Bacteria
Description: partial 16S ribosomal RNA
Rfam family: Bacterial small subunit ribosomal RNA
Source: RNAcentral